UGGAGGUUGCGGUGAGCCAAGAUCGCACAUCGCACUUCAGCCCAGGCGACAGAGCAAGACUCUCAAUCAUAAUCAAUCAGUAAAGCUGAUGAAAAUAAAAAAGCCUGCAAAUUAAUGUAGGCACCCAGGUCUCCUUAAAUUUAGAAUCCUUUCCUCAAAAGUCCCCGUUGAUACAGAAACACUUUUGAAGCCAGAUGUGAAGCACCAGUUGACCCGCAGGUGGGGGUGCCAACUGGUAGGCUGUAGGGUUAGCUCUGGCCUCUGGCAGCCAGCCAGUUGUCUCCUAAGAAAAUACUGUGGCGUGAAUGCAAAAUGUGAUUCAUCACUUGGCUCCUAAUUUCUUUUGAUUUUGUCCCCUAGAGCAAGGUCCGUGGUCCUGUCAGUGGAAGUCCGGAUAGCAUGAAUGCCUCUCGACUUAGCCAGCCUGGGCAGCUGAUGUCUCAGCCCUCCACGGCCUCCAACAGCUUACCUGAGCCAGCCAAAAAGAGUGAAGAACUGGUGGCUGAAGCACAUAACCUGUGCACCCUGCUAGAAAAUGCCAUACAGGACACCGUGAGGGAACAAGACCAGAGUUUCACGGCCCUAGACUGGAGCUGGUUACAGAUGGAAGAAGAAGAGCACAGCUGCCUGGAGCAGGCCUCAUGAUGUGGGGGGACUCGACCCCCUGACAUGGGGCAGCCCAUAGCAGGCCUUGUGCAGUGGGGGGACUCAACCCCCUGACAUGGGGCUGCCUGGAGCAGGCCGCGUGACGUGGGGCUGCCUGGCCGCGGCUCUCACAUGGUAGUUCCUGCUGCACUGAUGGCCCAGCGGUCUCUGGUAUCCAGAUGGAGCUCUCGCUUCCUCAGCAGCUGUGACUUUCACCCAGGACCCAGGACGCAGCCCUCCGUGGGCACUGCCGGCGCCUUGUCUGCACACUGGAGGUCCUCCAUUACAGAGGCCCAGCGCACAUCGCUGGCCCCACGAGCGUUCAGGGGUACAGCCACGGCAGCUCCUUCCUCUGCCGUGAGAAAAGUGCUUGGAGUACGGUUUGCCACACACGUGACUGGACAGUGUCCAAUUCAAAUCUUUCAGGGCAGAGUCCGAGCAGCGCUUGGUGACAGCCUGUCCUCUCCUGCUCUCCAAAGGCCCUGCUCCCUGUCCUCUCUCACUUUACAGCUUGUGUUUCUUCUGGAUUCAGCUUCUCCUAAACAGACAGUUUAAUUAUAGUUGCGGCCUGGCCCCAUCCUCACUUCCUCUUUUUAUUUCACUGCUGCUAAAAUUGUGUUUUUACCUACUACUUUGGUGGUUGUCCUCUUUUCGGCAAAGUUGGAGCGAGUGCCAAGCUCUCCAUCUGUGGUCCUUUCUGCCAAGAGCGACUCAUAGUAACCAGGAUGGGAGAGCAGCUGCCUUAUUCUGAAUCCCAAAAAUUACUUGGGGGUGAUUGUCACAGAGGAGGGACAGAAAGGGUAUCUGCUGACCACCAGCCUGCCUACCCAUGCCCAUGUCGCCAUUCCUGCUCAAGCGUGUGUGCUGGGCCGGGGAGUCCCUGUCUCUCACAGCAUCUAGCAGUAUUAUUAAAUGGACUCAUUUUUAAAA
RNAcentral lists this small RNA (1575 nucleotides) under Pan troglodytes (chimpanzee). RNAcentral's name for it is "retained intron". Lineage: Eukaryota; Metazoa; Chordata; Mammalia; Primates; Hominidae. The record is from RNAcentral.